GAUGAACGCUGGCGGCGUGCCUAAUACAUGCAAGUCGAGCGAACGGACGAGAAGCUUGCUUUUCUGAUGUUAGCGGCGGACGGGUGAGUAACGCGUGUAUAACCUACCUAUAAGACUGGGAUAACUUCGGGAAACCGGAGCUAAUACCGGAUAAUAUUUUGAACCGCAUGGUUCAAAAGUGAAAGACGGUGUUUCUGUCACUUAUAGAGGGAUCCGCGCUGCAUUAGCUAGUUGGUAAGGUAACGGCUUACCAAGGCAACGAUGCAUAGCCGACCUGUGAGGGUGAUCGGCCGCACUGGAACUGAGACACGGUCCAGACGCCUACGGGAGGCAGCAGUAGGGAAUCUUCCGCAAUGGGCGAAAGCCUGACGGAGCAACGCCGCGUGAGUGAUGACGGUCUUCGGAUCGUAAAACUCUGUUAUGAGGGAAAAACAUAUGUGUAAGUAACUGUGCCCAUCGUGACGGUACCUAAUAAGAAAGCCACGGCUAACUACGUG
Molecule: ribosomal RNA, 497 nt
Filed under: uncultured bacterium
Lineage: Bacteria
Description: partial 16S ribosomal RNA
Rfam family: Bacterial small subunit ribosomal RNA
Source: RNAcentral